This is a long non-coding RNA of Sarcophilus harrisii (Tasmanian devil), 2070 nucleotides long. RefSeq lists it as uncharacterized. The transcript has 2 exons. Lineage: Eukaryota; Metazoa; Chordata; Mammalia; Dasyuromorphia; Dasyuridae. The record is from RefSeq and is a predicted model, not a curated record.
CGAAGUAACUGCACUGUGACCCCGGGAGCGGCCACGGCGCUGGCAAGGCUUAGCGCCUCCGGAAAAUGGAACGCAACGGCCACCGUCCUGCCUCCACCUCAGCCUUCAAGGCCCAAAUGACUAACCCAGGAUGGAGAGGAAUGGUUUGGAACUUUGGCCCUAACUGAACAUAAAACAAGUACUAGGAAGAAAAUGAUAGCUGUGUGGCUCUGACCCAUGAACCAGAAAACAGUAUUAUGUACAAAAGAGGAACCUGCAAUUCAGUCAACUCUAAAUCCAUAGAACAUCCCAGUGGACCAAUAGUGACUGAAUCAAGCAGCAGUCUGAUGAAACUCACAACAAAAAAGCUGGUAUGACCACAUCUAGGUCAGGAACCCUCAGAAAUCAGACCAGAAGGACAAUGAACAGACACUCCCCUGAAAUCUCACUAUCUUAGUAGCCAAUACUAGUCCCUAGAUUGAACUUGGAAAAAAUAGAAGAUGAGAAAGUCAAGCCAGACAUCCUUUUAUCUGCAGAAGUGGACAGAACCUAACACUAACAAAAUUCAUAGUCAAGAAGUAAAUUAUCAAAAAGGAAAAAUGAGGAGGAAAAUCCCACCAUGAAGACCUAUUAUAGUAAAAGAAGUACAAGACAAAAAGACAAUGACUUGAAAAAAUCCAUAUGUAAAGUCUCAAAAAAAAUACAUCUUGGACACAAGUCCAACAAGAAUUUCUAGAAGAGUUAAAGCAAGUGUAAAUGAAAGAGCUUUUAAAAAAUAGAAUUUUAAAAAGAAAAGAACAGUAGAGGAAAGAAUGAGAAAAAGGACAAGUGGAAGAAACAUGAAAGAAUAGGAUGGAAGAAGAGAUAUAAAGCCUCAUCAAAGAAAAUGAUUCCUUGAAAAUUGUGUUGCUGAAUCACAUUCAACUCUUUGUGACCCUGUGAAUCAUACUAUCCAUGGAAUUUUCUUGGCAAAGUUAUUUUCUUCUCCAAUAAAUUAUAGCAAAUGGAAGCUAAUUAGCUUGUCCAGGAUCACACAGCAGUAUUUAUCCGAGACUGGAUUUGAACUCAGACUUGACUCUAGGUCCAGCACUCUAUUGACUGGGCUUCCUAACUGCUUUGAGAAAGAGAAUUAGCAAAAUGGAAGCUAAUGACUCAAUGAAAUAUCAAGAAACAAAACCAUCUGGGGAAAGACUGGGAGAAAAUGUGAUAUGUCGUGGGGAGAAAAACUGACCAGAAAACAAAUGAAGGAGAAAUAUUUUAAUAAUCAUUGGACGAUAUAUCUGAAACUGUAACCAUAAAAGAUUUUAAAUAUCACAUUUCAAGAAAUCACAAAAGAAAACUCCACAGACAUCUCAGAACCAGAGAACAAAGGAGAAACUGAAAGAACCUAUCAAUUAUCUUCUGAAAGAAACCCACAAAUGAAAACUCCCAGAAAUACUAUAUCCAAAAUAAAAAACUCCCAGUUGAAGGAAAAAAUAAUGCAAGUACCCAGAAGGAAAGAAUUUGAGUACAGAGGAAGUACAGUUAGAAUCACACAAGAUUAAGCAGCUAUGAGUAUAAAAGGAAUGGAAAGCCUAGAGAAUAUGAUAUUGUAAAAGGAUGAAACAACCAAGAAUAAAUUAACCAGAAAACUAAGUAUAAUCUUAGAAUGGAAAAAAAAAAUUAAUCUUUAAAGAAAUAAAGGACUUCUAAGCAUCCCUGAUGAACAGAUAGAUUUGAGUUGAAAAUUUGACAUACAAACACAGGAAUGAAGAGAAACCUAAAAAAUUAAGCAAUCACAAGGGACUGAACAUUAUUAAAUUAUUUACAUUUUUAUAUGAAAAGAUGACACAUAUAACCCCUUGACUUUAUGUUCACUGGAGGUUAGAGAGGGAAUCUAAUUGAACAAGUUAUAUUUGGAUGUUCUCAAAAGAGGAGGACACUGAAAUAAAAGGGAAGGGAGAAGAACAAGGAAAAUUAUCUCACAUAAAUAGGAUGUAAUAAGAAGACUUUGCACAACAAGGAGCGAACAAUUGGGGUAGAAUAUACACAUUUGAAACUCACUGUUACCUGAACUAGUUAAAGGAAAAAAAAAAACAUAACACACAGUUG